AGUGGCGGACGGGUGAGUAACGCGUGGGUAACCUGCCUCAUACAGGGGGAUAACAGUUAGAAAUGACUGCUAAUACCGCAUAAGACCACAGCACCGCAUGGUGCAGGGGUAAAAACUCCGGUGGUAUGAGAUGGACCCGCGUCUGAUUAGGUAGUUGGUGGGGUAACGGCCUACCAAGCCGACGAUCAGUAGCCGACCUGAGAGGGUGACCGGCCACAUUAGGACUGAGACACGGCCCAA
This 240-nucleotide ribosomal RNA is filed under the name uncultured bacterium. RNAcentral describes it as "partial 16S ribosomal RNA". It matches the Rfam family "Bacterial small subunit ribosomal RNA", at positions 94 to 334 of the family's 1533-position model. The record is from RNAcentral.